CACCGCCCAUCAUUCCUAUUGAUUAAAUGGUCCGGUGAAGUCUUUGGAUCACAACAACGUGGGCAGUCUAUUGUCCGCACUAUCGUGAAAAAUCCAUUGAACCUUAUCAUUUAGAGGAAGGAGAAGUCAUAACAAGGUUUCUAUAGGUGAACCUGUAAAGG
RNAcentral lists this non-coding RNA (161 nucleotides) under Vitis vinifera (wine grape). Its description in RNAcentral is "Eukaryotic small subunit ribosomal RNA". It matches the Rfam family "Eukaryotic small subunit ribosomal RNA", at positions 1667 to 1823 of the family's 1831-position model. The record is from Rfam by way of RNAcentral. Lineage: Eukaryota; Viridiplantae; Streptophyta; Magnoliopsida; Vitales; Vitaceae.